GUGGAAUCAUACAAUUAUAAAUAAAUCCAUAUGGUGUGGCCAGGAUAUUCAACAACUUGAAUAUAACAUUUAUGUGAGACCUUAGUGGUGAUAGGAUGAUAAGUCACAUUAAUGUGGUACACAAACCAUAUUAUGUACUUUGACCCUUUGACAAACAUAUACCAAUUUUAGCAUACAGGAACCAUAAAUUGUCACAAAAAAAAUCAUUAGAUAUAAAGCGAUUUGACAAAAAAUUAUUUUGAUCAUUGAGAAACUAAAUAUGUGAUUCAAACAUUUAGCUGACUUUUUCAUUUUUCAGAGUUAUCUCCCUGUAGUGUUAUAUACCACAUAAAUAAACGUGGAACUAACGGAGUUUUUAACGGACAUAACGAGAAUGUAUUAUGUCGCAAAGAGAAAGGGUGACCAUACAAUUUAAAGCAAAUCAAAAUGAAUGUAACCGUAUAGCUUAUAGUACAUUCUAGUAUUAUUUCUUCAAAUUUAGUAUGGUUUCAUCUUGCUGUGAAUUAUGUAUUGUUCUAUCAUGCUACACAUGCAAUAAAUUAAAUUAAAUAAAAGACAGAUCUAGAGGAGACUUAAAGUUACUAAAUUGUUCUUUUCUCUCUUUCCGGUUCAGACAAAACUAUCCCAUCAAUGCAACUCCCAAUAAAUACGUUAUUAAGAAGAAUCAAGUAAACACUUUUAAUAAGUGGUACGACGUGAGCAUUUUAAAAAUAAAUACGAAUAUUAGAUUAAGUUGAAUCACGUGAACAUUUAAUUGAGAGAUUUACAACAAAGGAAAUUCAGUGAUCCUAAUGCGCAUGAAGAUUAGUAAACAUGGUUAAUGGGUUGAACUUGAUAAUCAACAAUGGUCAAUGUUACAGCUAUGAAAAAAAAUUACAUCUAUUAUGAGGAAAUAUUGGCUCUACAACUCACAACACCUCACAUACGAAUCAUGCAGUGGUUGAGUAUUGAGUGGUAGAUCACCAGUAAUAUCAAUAUUUUUCUUUAAUAUUUUGACGUUUUUACUUUGUUCUGCAGAACUAUGGAUG
Molecule: long non-coding RNA, 1028 nt
Filed under: Mytilus galloprovincialis (Mediterranean mussel)
Lineage: Eukaryota; Metazoa; Mollusca; Bivalvia; Mytilida; Mytilidae
Source: RNAcentral